Molecule: long non-coding RNA, 426 nt
Filed under: Homo sapiens (human)
Lineage: Eukaryota; Metazoa; Chordata; Mammalia; Primates; Hominidae
Description: PREDICTED lncRNA (TCONS_00130503)
Source: RNAcentral
GUUUGUCCUACACAGUUACCAGUUUGACUUCUUCCUUUUGGCUCAGUGAUUUGGAGGUCUCAAGAUUUAUUUUCCUUUCACAAUCACGACAUGGUUGUUUUACAUCAUUACGUUUGGGGAUGGUUUGUCAAACAGCAGUAGUAAUUGGAAUUUGGAGGUUGAAGCAGUACCUGGCAAGGAGAGAGAGGAUACGUGGAGGCUGCGAUUUGGAGACAGACCCAAGAGAACUUCCUGGAUGCCAUCACCCAGAGUCCCAUCCAGGGAGGGUGGGUGAGGUGGAAGACAAGGGAUCGGGCCUGCGCCACGAUCGUCACGUCCCAUCGAAGCUGGAGCGGAUCCGGGCACCCGGAGCCCCCAUUCCAACCCCUCCCGGCCCCAGGCAACUACAUCUCCCAGCAUCGCCCGCUCGGGCCGCGGGAAAGGGGA